Molecule: transfer RNA, 75 nt
Filed under: Dipodomys ordii (Ord's kangaroo rat)
Lineage: Eukaryota; Metazoa; Chordata; Mammalia; Rodentia; Heteromyidae
Rfam family: tRNA
About the family: Transfer RNA (tRNA) molecules are approximately 80 nucleotides in length.
Source: Rfam by way of RNAcentral
GGAGACAUGGUUAAUUAAUGGUAGAGCACCUGCCUAUCAAGCAUGAAACCUUGAGUUCAAACCCCAGUGCUUCCC